RNAcentral lists this ribosomal RNA (618 nucleotides) under Mycodrosophila dimidiata. Its description in RNAcentral is "partial 16S ribosomal RNA". It matches the Rfam family "Bacterial large subunit ribosomal RNA", at positions 1845 to 2745 of the family's 2925-position model. The record is from RNAcentral. Lineage: Eukaryota; Metazoa; Arthropoda; Insecta; Diptera; Drosophilidae.
UUAAAGUCUAACCUGCCCACUGAAAAUUUAAAUGGCCGCAGUAUUUUAACUGUGCAAAGGUAGCAUAAUCAUUAGUCUUUUAAUUGAAGGCUGGAAUGAAUGGUUGGACGAGAUAUUAACUGUUUCAUUUAUAUUUUAUAUAGAAUUUUAUUUUUUAGUCAAAAAGCUAAAAUAAUUUUAAAAGACGAGAAGACCCUAUAAAUCUUUAUAUUUUUGUUAUUUUAAUUAUAAAGAUUUAUUUUAUUAUAAUAAUUAAAAAUAUUUUAUUGGGGUGAUAUUAAAAUUUUAAGAACUUUUAAUUUUAAAAUUACAUUAAUUUAUGAAUAAUUGAUCCAUUAAUAAUGAUUAAAAAUUUAAGUUACUUUAGGGAUAACAGCGUAAUUUUUUUGGAGAGUUCAUAUCGAUAAAAAAGAUUGCGACCUCGAUGUUGGAUUAAGAUAUAAUUUUGGGUGUAGCCGUUCAAAUUUAAAGUCUGUUCGACUUUUAAAUUCUUACAUGAUCUGAGUUCAAACCGGCGUAAGCCAGGUUGGUUUCUAUCUUUAAAAAAUUAAAAUAUUUUAGUACGAAAGGACCAAAUAUUUAAAUAAUUAUAUUUUAAAUAAGAAUUUUAUUAAUAUU